GGGAGCUUGCUCCUUGAUUCAGCGGCGGACGGGUGAGUAAUACCUAGGAAUCUGCCUGGUAGUGGGGGACAACGUUUCGAAAGGAACGCUAAUACCGCAUACGUCCUACGGGAGAAAGCAGGGGACCUUCGGGCCUUGCGCUAUCAGAUGAGCCUAGGUCGGAUUAGCUAGUUGGUGAGGUAAUGGCUCACCAAGGCUACGAUCCGUAACUGGUCUGAGAGGAUGAUCAGUCACACUGGAACUGAGACACGGUCCAGACUCCUACGGGAGGCAGCAGUGGGGAAUAUUGGACAAUGGGCGAAAGCCUGAUCCAGCCAUGCCGCGUGUGUGAAGAAGGUCUUCGGAUUGUAAAGCACUUUAAGUUGGGAGGAAGGGCAUUAACCUAAUACGUUAGUGUUUUGACGUUACCGACAGAAUAAGCACCGGCUAACUCUGUGCCAGCAGCCGCGGUAAUACAGAGGGUGCAAGCGUUAAUCGGAAUUACUGGGCGUAAAGCGCGCGUAGGUGGUUCGUUAAGUUGGAUGUGAAAUCCCCGGGCUCAACCUGGGAACUGCAUCCAAAACUGGCGAG
RNAcentral lists this ribosomal RNA (570 nucleotides) under bacterium RBM-A4. RNAcentral describes it as "bacterial SSU rRNA". It matches the Rfam family "Bacterial small subunit ribosomal RNA", at positions 74 to 640 of the family's 1533-position model. The record is from RNAcentral.